RNA transcript from Drosophila subpulchrella, 1056 nucleotides. It is a transcript of the gene named chromatin modification-related protein MEAF6, with no coding region annotated. The record is from RefSeq and is a predicted model, not a curated record. Lineage: Eukaryota; Metazoa; Arthropoda; Insecta; Diptera; Drosophilidae. The transcript is spliced from 5 exons.
ACUGACAACAACACAAGUUGUUUUGUUAAACAUUUCUUAAAUUUUAGCCUUUUCUUAAAACAUGAGCUCGCCCACUAGUAAAAAUGUUAGCGAAACGAAUGGGAACAAGCCCAAGAAGUCGGGCAAAACGAAUUCAAAUGCAAAAAGCGGAUCCAUGGACACACGCGCUGAAUUGGCAGACCUCAUCAAAAAGAAGGCAGAGACUUCGGAACAACUGGCCAAUCUGGAGCGACAGAUCUACGCCUUUGAGGGGUCCUAUUUGGAGGACACCCAGCUGUGCGGGAACAUCAUCCGCGGCUGGGAGCGCUACCUGACCUCCAACAAGGCCACCAAUUCCAAGGCCGACAAACGGAAUCGCAAGUUCAAGGAGGCCGAGCGCCUCUUCUCCAAGUCCAGCAUUACCUCCAUGGCUAUAUGUAAUCCUGAGCGAGCCAGCGAAUCGGAUUCCAUUACCAAUGAAGACUCCAGCGACAAUCAGAUCUCAAUCAAUCAGAACACAACAACGGCCCACGAUGGAGCCACAACAAUUAAGAGCACUCCGAAAGAUGAAAAGGAUUCACCCUCGCAUCGAAAUGAAGUUAGUCUGGUCUCCAGUGCCGGAGUGGUGGCAGGACCCGCGAGCAGUGGUGGGGUCAACUCGGGAAACAAAGAUGUCCUUGGCACACCCACAUCAAAUACAAAGAGCAAAUUAUCCACCAACUCCAGUGCGACGGCGAAGAAGAGCGGACACAUAAACAAGAAGAUUCGACAUCGAUGAUGACUGCUGCUGUAGGGUCCGCACGCUCGAACGACCCACUCCUUAUGUUCAAAGUUUAGAAAUUACAAUUUGUACAAGUAAUAAAACAUUUCUACACGCAGGAUGGGCUCGGCUUCAAAAUAGCAGGCUUGGGCUUGAUUGAUGAGAUACGGAUUCCCCAGUCGUAGUUCGAGUUACUCUGGACUUCAUGCUGAUGUCACUCCACUGGUGAUUUGGAAAUAUUCUAAGAUAAAAUUUUUAAUUUUAACCUUAAUUUCAACAAAGGAAACUUCGUUUUAAAAAAUUUUAAGAUUUGAGAU